Molecule: ribosomal RNA, 303 nt
Filed under: Triticum aestivum (bread wheat)
Lineage: Eukaryota; Viridiplantae; Streptophyta; Magnoliopsida; Poales; Poaceae
Description: partial small subunit ribosomal RNA
Source: RNAcentral
AUGGAAGGUAUGGCCUUGGCUAUCCAACACUCGGAUCUCCCAGUCAUCGUCCAGUCAGAUUCUUCUGAAGCCUUAGCUAGCCUCUCGAGCAAUGCUUCAACUCGCUCGGCUUAUGGUCACUUGGUCCUAGAGAUUAAGGAGUUGAUGAGUAUUAGGGAGUUUGUACCUCUGAAGAUCUGUCGCUCUCAGAAUAGAGUUGCCAAUUAUAGUCGCUCCGAGCGAGCUACAGCGGUGUGGUUGCGUUCGGUUCCACCUUGUAUUGAGGGUUUGUGGCCUCUCGACUGUAACACUAUGACAUUUUAA